GACGUAGGGUGCAAGCGUUAUCCGGAUUUAUUGGGCGUAAAGCGUCCGUAGGCGGAUUACUAAGUCUUCUUUUAAAUAUCAAGGCUCAACUUUGAGAAUGGGGAAGAGACUGGUAGUCUAGAGGUUGGAAGGGGGUGCUGGAACUUGCAGUGUAGGGGUGAAAUCCGUUGAUAUUGCAAGGAACGCUUAGGGCGAAGGCAAGCACCUGGUACACACCUGACGCUCAGGGACGAAAGCUAGGGGAGCAAAGCGGAUUAGAUACCCGCGUA
RNAcentral lists this ribosomal RNA (269 nucleotides) under uncultured prokaryote. RNAcentral describes it as "partial 16S ribosomal RNA". It matches the Rfam family "Bacterial small subunit ribosomal RNA", at positions 524 to 792 of the family's 1533-position model. The record is from RNAcentral.